This 72-nucleotide transfer RNA is filed under the name Ornithorhynchus anatinus (platypus). It matches the Rfam family "tRNA". From Rfam's summary of the family: Transfer RNA (tRNA) molecules are approximately 80 nucleotides in length. Their secondary structure includes four short double-helical elements and three loops (D, anti-codon, and T loops). The record is from Rfam by way of RNAcentral. Lineage: Eukaryota; Metazoa; Chordata; Mammalia; Monotremata; Ornithorhynchidae.
AGCAGUGUGGCUUAGUAGCAAGAGCACGGGCUUGGGAUUCAGAAGAUGUGGGUUCCAAUUCCGCCUCUGCCA